UGAAGUUCAACAUUUAUAAUUGUUUAAUUUACGGAUUAAGUUCCGUCUCACUUUGAAGUUGGAAUUGAAGAAGUAUAAAAAAACUGACCGGAAUAUCAUCCACAAAGACGAAAAAUCGACAGAUUAUUAGAUUGUUUCGAUCGGACCGAACAUGAGCCUCUUUACAACCAUAAGCUUCAAUACUGAUACUGAAAAUUGAAAACAGUACAGAAAUGAAGUACUACUGUCAGUUGAUUGUCACAUUUGAAUUUUACCUACCCUUUCCUGUCCAAGAACAGUAAAAAAACCAGAAUGCUUCCCUUUCCCUUUUGCUCCAGAAUUUAUCUUCUUUUGAUACAGGUUUUGGUUAAUGAGUCAAGUCAAAAAGCUUCUCUUUCUUUCUUUCUGUAGUUUUAUGUUAGGGUUUAGUAGUAAGGUACUGAAUGAAUGAAUGUGUAAUCACCAUCGUCACUCAUUGUUAUAUUUUUCUACUGUUUUGGCAUAAGAUUUUCCCGAUGGUGACAGCCCUCCGACAGGUGAAGAAGGAUUUGGGAAAGAAGAAGGGAAAAGAUGGUUAAUUUGGUGCAACAAGUCACUCGGGAAUAACUGUAUAUUGGUACUGGUACUACUUUACCAGCCAGUUGGGGGGAUUUUGUACGUACCAUUUCCCUCAAGAGAAAUUGCAUGUGCUUAUGCUCUUAGUUUGUCCACACUCUAUUCUUCUCGUUGUCUCUCCAUGACGACCUAUGCAUUACAAAGACGUAUUCCCAUGAACUAUAUGGAUUUAAUAUUACAAAUGAUGUUAUG
RNAcentral lists this long non-coding RNA (786 nucleotides) under Linum usitatissimum (flax). RNAcentral describes it as "long non-coding RNA (LUSI_LNC003066)". Lineage: Eukaryota; Viridiplantae; Streptophyta; Magnoliopsida; Malpighiales; Linaceae. The record is from RNAcentral.